UGGGGAAUUUUGGACAAUGGGGGCAACCCUGAUCCAGCCAUGCCGCGUGCAGGAUGAAGGCCUUCGGGUUGUAAACUGCUUUUGUUAGGAACGAAGCGGUGGAUGCUAAUACCAUUUACUAAUGACGGUACCUAAAGAAUAAGCACCGGCUAACUACGUGCCAGCAGCCGCGGUAAUACGUAGGGUGCAAGCGUUAAUCGGAAUUACUGGGCGUAAAGCGCGCGCAGGCGGCUUGGUAAGACAGGUGUGAAAUCCCCGAGCUCAACUUGGGAAUAGCACUUGUGACUGUCAGGCUAGAGUAUGUCAGAGGGAGGUGGAAUUCCAAGUGUAGCAGUGAAAUGCGUAGAUAUUUGGAAGAACACCGAUGGCGAAGGCAGCCUCCUAGGAUAAUACUGACGCUCAUGCACGAAAGCGUGGGGAGCAAACAGGAUUAGAUACCC
RNAcentral lists this ribosomal RNA (440 nucleotides) under uncultured bacterium. Its description in RNAcentral is "bacterial SSU rRNA". It matches the Rfam family "Bacterial small subunit ribosomal RNA", at positions 355 to 787 of the family's 1533-position model. The record is from RNAcentral.